UAGUCCACGCCAUAAACGAUGGUCACUAGCUGUUCGAACUUCGGUUUGAGUGGCUAAGCGAAAGUGAUAAGUGACCCACCUGGGGAGUACGUUCGCAAGAAUGAAACUCAAAGGAAUUGACGGGGGCCCGCACAAGCGGUGGAGCAUGUGGUUUAAUUCGAUGAUACGCGAGGAACCUUACCAGGGCUUAAAUGUAAAUUGACAGGUUUAGAGAUAGACUUUUCUUCGGACAAUUUACAAGGUGCUGCAUGGUUGUCGUCAGCUCGUGCCGUGAGGUGUCAGGUUAAGUCCUAUAACGAGCGCAACCCCUGCCGUUAGUUGCCAGCAUGUUAUGAUGGGGACUCUAACGGGACUGCCGGUGCAAACCGUGAGGAAGGUGGGGAUGACGUCAAAUCAUCACGGCCCUUACGUCCUGGGGCCACACACGUGCUACAAUGGCCGGUACAGNGAGCAGCCAUGCCGUAAGGCAG
Molecule: ribosomal RNA, 470 nt
Filed under: uncultured bacterium
Lineage: Bacteria
Description: bacterial SSU rRNA
Rfam family: Bacterial small subunit ribosomal RNA
Source: RNAcentral